CAGAACCUACGGGACGCAGCAGUGGGGAAUAUUGGUCAAUGGCCGGAAGGCUGGACCAGCCAAGCCGCGUGAAGGACGAAGGUGCCAAGCAUUGUAAACUUCUUUUGUCAAGGGACAAAAUCAGGCUCGAGAGCCUGACCGAGGGUACUUGAAGAAAAAGCAUCGGCUAACUCCGUGCCGGCAGCCGCGGUAAUACGGAGGAUGCGAGCGUUAUCCGGAUUUAUUGGGUUUAAAGGGUGCGUAGGCGGACUGUUAAGUCAGCGGUAAAAGCCCGGGGCUCAACCCCGGCGAGCCGUUGAAACUGG
Molecule: ribosomal RNA, 305 nt
Filed under: uncultured bacterium
Lineage: Bacteria
Description: bacterial SSU rRNA
Rfam family: Bacterial small subunit ribosomal RNA
Source: RNAcentral